This 498-nucleotide ribosomal RNA is filed under the name uncultured bacterium. RNAcentral describes it as "partial 16S ribosomal RNA". It matches the Rfam family "Bacterial small subunit ribosomal RNA", at positions 30 to 523 of the family's 1533-position model. The record is from RNAcentral.
AUUGAACGCUGGCGGCAUGCCUAACACAUGCAAGUCGAACGGUUUAUGGAGCUUGCUUCAUAGAUAGUGGCGGACGGGUGAGUAAUAUGUAGGAAUCUGCCUUGGGGAGGGGGAUAACUUGGGGAAACUCAAGCUAAUACCGCGUAAGUCGGAGACGAGAAAGCAGGGGACCGAAAGGCCUUGCGCCUUAAGAUGAGCCUACAUCGGAUUAGCUAGUUGGGGGGGUGAAGGCCUACCAAGGCGAUGAUCCGUAGCUGGUCUGAGAGGAUGACCAGCCACACUGGGACGGAGACACGGCCCAGAGUCCUACGGGAGGCAGCAGUGGGGAAUAUUGGACAAUGGGGGAAACCCUGAUCCAGCAAUGCCGCGUGUGUGAAGAAGGCCUUCGGGUUGUAAAGCACUUUCAGUGGGGAAGAAGGAUGUAUGGUUAAUACCCAUGCAUUUUGACGUUACCCAUAGAAGAAGCACCGGCUAACUCUGUGCCAGCCGCCGCGGUAA